GGCGCUGUGGCUCAAGUGGUAGAGCACUUGCCUUGAGCUGAAGAGUGCAAGCACAGCGCCU
This 61-nucleotide transfer RNA is filed under the name Dipodomys ordii (Ord's kangaroo rat). Lineage: Eukaryota; Metazoa; Chordata; Mammalia; Rodentia; Heteromyidae. The record is from Rfam by way of RNAcentral.